CCCAUUUGGAAUUACGUGGCCAGUUCAUACUAGGCCAUCCAUCUGAAGCUAAGCAGGUUUGGUUCUGGCCAGAACUUAGACGGGAGACCAAACAGGAAAGCCAGGUUGCUGCUGGAA
This 117-nucleotide ribosomal RNA is filed under the name Paramormyrops kingsleyae. Lineage: Eukaryota; Metazoa; Chordata; Actinopteri; Osteoglossiformes; Mormyridae. The record is from RNAcentral.